GAAUCUCCUUCGUUUUUUCUCUUUUGUGAUACGCUCCAUGAUUUUUAUUAUUUUGGAGAUUUUUUUUAAUUGCAGUAACAUUGGUUUAUAACAUCAUGUAAAUUUCACGUGUACAUCAUUACCUUUUCAUUUUUAACCUUUCCUUAUCUUUAGUAUCAAGCCCUACAGGUACAAACCCAAGCGAAGAACUGCUUCCCACCCACAGUGAUGCUGUGCUCCUGAAGGUCCCAGCCUCUGCACACUUUUCCUUUCGUUCAUUUUUUUCUCACUGUAGUUAAAUUUUCAUUCCUGUAGUUUACCUCUUAGCUCCACCUUAUUUUUGUAUUUAUAUCUCAUAUUUUAGGACUUGCUUGGAGUGCAAAAUGUGUUGCAAACUUGAGAGAGAACAAAACUAGAUAAGUUCAUGAAAAAUUGCCCUUUCUUUCCUAUUCUAGAAUUAUUUAGAACGGGAGCAAUGGAACUUUUUGGAUCGGUCCUGUUCUGCUUUGGGCUACUUAGGCUUCUGGUAUAUGGCUCAGGUCAUGGGCACCAGAUGCCAAUGGUACUAAGGUCAAGGGUUUGGUCCUCACUUGGGCUGGUUUGCUGCAUACUUUUCCAAUAGGUUGUAUGGAGAUUCAGUUCUGUCACUGCAGAAAUGCUAAUCAUAAAGGGGAUUGGUGAACGUAUGAGUGACCAGGUGAAUAUCCAGCCCCAUUCCUGCAAAAACAAAGUCUGUGCCCUACUGUCAUUUUUGCAUUUGGACAGAGCGUGCCACUUAAAACAUGAGCUUGUUACUCAACCUCCCUGCCUCUCUGUUUCCUCAUCUGUAGAAUGGAGAUAAGACGUGCUCCCUUUUUACCUCACCAGGACCUGUGAAGAUUAGAUAAUGGCUGUAAAGUCAAAGGUAUAAGCAUUAUCACAAACAAGGAGAUUAGUCAACAAAUGAAAAAAAAUUUAAGGGACCCCCCAAAGUGUAUUGCUCAAUACUUUUUGAAUCAAUAUGAGCAGUUUGCAGUCCAAUCCAUUCUGUUUGGUUGAGCUGCAAAAAGUUAGGUGUGAAUGUUUGACCUUUCUAUUUAUUUACAAGGUUAAAAAAGCUGUUUGAUAAUGAACAUUUAUACUAAGAAAAAUAAAGUGGGCUUUGAAUCUGAAACAGGUUUUAUCUGAAAAACAAGGUGAAGGCGAAGGUCUCUAGGAACAUGCGUGCCACUGAGGAGUAUUUGCAUACAUUUGAUCUGCGAGCAUGCCUCAGUGACUUUCACAGUGUACCUUGGAGUUUAAGCUGUAGCAAAGAGCCACUGCCAGGGCUCGGCAGCAGAGUUCCUUCUCUCCAGCUUUAUUGUGGCACACAGCGACAACUUCAUUUUUAGAAUUAAAAAAAAAAAGUCCUCUUCACUUAAUUCAGACAGUGACCUGCAGGCCUCAUUCCGACUGAAGGAGCCAUUCAGAAUACUUCCAGACAAAAGCAGGGCUUUUUCCUAGCAACCAGAUCAAAGCCAAAUCUCCCAGAAUAGCUCGCUCCCAGGUUUCCUUUGGUGCAUAGGUUCACAAGGAUUCUAAGGCUCGUGGUAUCCAGUUCAAACUCCUCUUUCAAACUGAAAUGGAAAGGAAAACUCCUGAGGAAUUCUCACAGACUCUGAAAACUGGUCUUGGAUUUGAUGACUAGAGUGUCCUUUGAGUGGAAUUUCUGUCUUAACUCUGCUCUGGAGGACAGCGAGUUUAGGAAGCCUUGCUGAUCUGAAUGUCUUGACCACUGCAUUCUGGCUUCUGUCUUUUUUUUUACAGCUGAGGUUAGACUUAACUCUGGAAGUUGUGAAUUGGAAAAGAUGGCAGCAACUGGCACGUGCUUGGAGUGGGUAGGAAUUGCUUAUUUCCUCGCAGAGCUAUGGGUUCUUAAAACAAUUUCUAAUAGCAGCAGCAGAAGAAUUUACUAACAAUCCAUAGUGUCUUUUUUGUCCAGGAUAAA
Molecule: long non-coding RNA, 1945 nt
Organism: Equus asinus (donkey)
Lineage: Eukaryota; Metazoa; Chordata; Mammalia; Perissodactyla; Equidae
Source: Ensembl